This 1892-nucleotide long non-coding RNA is filed under the name Equus caballus (horse). RNAcentral's name for it is "lncRNA (ENSECAG00000050445.1)". Lineage: Eukaryota; Metazoa; Chordata; Mammalia; Perissodactyla; Equidae. The record is from RNAcentral.
UAGCUAAAAACAACUUCAGAAAGCUUCUGGAAAGUGAUCUAACUGGUCUGGCCAGAUUCUCCUCCUUUCCAGGAAGCACGUGUUCCCAUUCAUUCAUUCGUUAAACACGCAUCCUGCAUCUGCUCUAUGCUGAGCACUGGAGAGAUGGGAGAAAGGAGAACCAGCUCCUGCCCUCCAGGAGAAGAGGCAGACACACACUGUUAACUUUGACAGGUGUACUGGGUGUGGCCAUCGGGGGCACACAGAGGAGCCACGGAACACAGACAGGACCACUGGUCAUCAGGGGAGGGGACGCUGGUGAGGACCAGGAGAGCAUCACACAAGGUCAAGCAAGGAGCAAAGGCCGGAGCAGAUGAGGAAACAGGGACCCAGAGAGGUUGAGUCCCCUGCCCAAAGGCCCAGAGCCAGGAAGAAGUGGAGUGUUGAGCACAGAGACGGGCACGCAACGAGCACUUACUCAACGGGCUCCAUGACGAUGAUAAGAGGCCAGCCAAGACACGGACAGUGCGAACGGACAGGACAGUGAACAAGAACGCUCACACUGCAGUGCACACACUGCAUAACCCAUCGAUUGUCACCAGCCCCCAGAAAAGGGGUGUAACCACCCACCUACUAGGACCAGUUCAACUGCCCACAUCUUAUCAACAGAGUAAUUAGGAGUGGUUUUCAGGAUCUGAGUCCUCCCUUGUCCACUUCAGGCCGGUUGAGACCACCAACCCCUCAACUGGGCCUGCACAAAUGCCCGAUAAGUGGCCCUUUGAUGUCAAGGAGCUGAAAACUCCACCCUGAGAUCAUGGUGAGGCCGCCAUUUUGUGGACAUCCAUCCUGAGAAGAGCCGUGAAGCCUGACUCUGCGCGCAGGUCAUGAUCACCUCUCUCCUCACCUCCAGUCACGUCUCCACACUUCCGCCCGCCCUACCCUUCAUCCCAUAAAUUCUGCCCCAAGCCCUGGGUCAGGAGACAGAUCUGAGAGUGCUGCCGCCUGCCUCCCUGCAGGUCGGUCUCACACUAAAGCUGUGGUCUUUUCUCAAAAGCUGAUGCUGCCAUAAUCGGCACUUUAUGAAUAUCGGGUGAGAGAACCCCAACUUUGUGCUGCAAUAGGGUUUCUACAGUUUCUACACAUUCUAAGGAUGGUGAUGACGACCCGCAUUCCCAGAUCAGUAGAACGCGGCCUGGCGAUUCAGGACUUUAUAGUCCCAGAACGUUAACCCUCCUCCUCCUGAUCUUGCCAGAAACACCGACAACUGGUGACACGGUCAGUGAAUUUGCUUCCAACAUCUGGUGGUUUGACUGUGUGGGGUUCCCCUACCACUCCUGUCACACGAGAGACCAGAAUAGGGCUCAGUAUGAAAAUGUACAUGCAGCUGGGCCUGGCUGAGCACACCACACAGAACAUCUUGGAAUCCCAGGAUGGCCCUUUGUGUUACAAUCUUCACACGAGGGUUCACAUACUUAUGUCCAAUAUCAAGAAUGCUCCAAGGCAAACUGACAAGCGGAAAUGAGGAACCUGAGGGCGGACAUUGUCCACAGAUGAGCUUUGGGCUGCAGACUUCUCCCUGGACUGUCAUUGCUUGCUGCUGGACACCGCACAAAGGCGCCUCCCAACUACUGGACCAAAGACUCGUUGAGGAGCAGACAGUGUCCCUGGGAGUGAGGCCAGAGAGUCCUGGAUCGCUACCCCAAACUUGCCUUUGGGUACUGACCUGGGAGGCUGAACUCCCUUCCCCCUGCUCUGCUCUACCUAUCGUAGGGGUCAGCAGACUUCUUCCUUAAGAGGCCAGACGUUAAAUGCUUUAGGUUUUCUGGACCAAGAGGCGAAAAUCUAGGAUAUUAUGUAGGAAUUCAUGUAAUAAAAGAAAAAAAUUUCAACUGGUGAAAUUCAAAUAUAAUAAU